CGACAGUUACACUCUGUUUCCUUUUCUUUUUUGCACGUACAUGAUAAAACUAAUAUUACAUACAAACAAUGGUGUGGAUAGGUUUUUUUAUGAGGUUGUCACAAAAAAUUUCAUAAAUAAUUUAGUAUGAUUCAUAAUUAUAAUUGACAUAUAGUUCAUAAUAUAAAAGUAAAAAUAACAUAUGAAACUAUAGAUUUAACAUUUACUAGUACAGUGCCCGUGUUGCGGCGACACACCAAUCAUAUUUGAUGGUAUAGUGGUGCAACAGUUGUAUGAUACGUGAAGGAAAUCCCGAUAAAGAUGAGUUUCAAAGGAGACAUGCCCCUUUUUUAUAGCUAACUCAGCCACUCACCCUCCUUCAGCUAGUGACGUGGUACUAUCCGGGAGCGUUGCGCUGCGUGCGACAUCAUGUCAUGUUGGGCUUGAAUAUUUUCUCACGGUCCAUCUAAAGGUAACAACCCACACAUGACUAUAGAUUAGAUUAUAAAGAAGUAUAUGGAUUUUUUUAUAAAAGAGAUGACAAUAAAACUCACGAAAAUUGAUGCUUUAUAGAAGCCGAGAAGUCCAUAAGUACAUACAUCAGAAUGCAAAUAUAAUAUAAAAUAAUUCAAAGAUCAAGCACAAAAUACACUAUUGGUGUCAGGUUUUUUUUGGCCUUCACCCCAUUCUGUAGAAGGUGCACCUCCCCCUCGCCUUCCCUCUGUCGCUGAUGCCGCCGUCGCAACCUUCAACUUGGGCAUUGCCUCCGUCUCGGCGGAGCUCCGAUGCAUUCGUUGUGGGCCUCGUAGGGCUCUUGCGUGAUGUGUGGUCUACCCUCUACACCUACCGUUGGUGUCCCAGGCGCCGCUGCCCAUUCCACCAGAUGUGGGUGACUGUGUCAGCGAUGGAGCCUCUAUUGGCGGUGACGGGGUUCAAGGCAACACGAUUGGCGUGGAAGCGGGCGACGCUGAUGCCAUGGAAGCGCAAGGGCCAGGACCUAGCUACAAAUUGUGAUCGCUUCUAGUAAUAACUUGCACUCCAAUCCCCGUAUACCAAAAACAAAAAAAACUGGAGAAACUGCACUAAAAAAUGAUGACGGUAAACAGAAAGUGGAAAACCCUACCUGUAGCGACCCAUGAUGACAACUCCGCAGCAACAACUGAUCUCCUUUGAUUUCCGAAUCAGUGUAGUCGAAUAAUGCGAAAAAUCUUAGAGGCGAUUCGGGGCGGCGCUGGAGAGCGGUACGGAAU
Molecule: long non-coding RNA, 1229 nt
Filed under: Zea mays
Lineage: Eukaryota; Viridiplantae; Streptophyta; Magnoliopsida; Poales; Poaceae
Description: long non-coding RNA (ZMAY_LNC003524)
Source: RNAcentral